Molecule: long non-coding RNA, 779 nt
Organism: Daktulosphaira vitifoliae (grape phylloxera)
Lineage: Eukaryota; Metazoa; Arthropoda; Insecta; Hemiptera; Phylloxeridae
Exons: 3
Source: RefSeq, a predicted model, not a curated record
UUAAUACAUGCAUUAAUUUUUAAUGAUAAAGCAUUCACAUUAAUGUUACUGGUUUUUACAGUGUGUAUAAAUAUUUUUUUGAAAUUUUAAUAUGAAAUGUAAAAUACUAUAGCAGACUAGUUAUUAGGGGCAGUUUUCUUUUCAAUGAACUAUGUAUGUAACAACUUCGACACAUGAAUUUAAUCAAAUAGUGAUUAAGUAGUCUUUGGUGUGAUCUCGUGUUGCUACUUUGGCUGAAUGUUAAUCCACAUUUAUAAGGCUUGAUACCAGUGUAACAAUUCAUGUUUUUUUUAAGAUGAUGUUUUUUAGUGAAAGAUUUUUUACACUCUACACACACAUACGGUUUAAUUCCUGAAUGAAGUCGCGUAUGUAAUGUCGUAUUGGACCUAUCUGCAAACGAUUUGUGACAAAUGACACAAGAAAACGGGUUUUCACCAGUAUGUAUUCGCAAAUGUUGUUUGAGUAGCAUUUUUCUGGAAAAUGAUAUGUUCCAGUGGCUACAACAAUGAGGUUUUUCACCAGUAUGGAUACGCAUGUGUAUAUUUUUUGGUGAAUUUUCAUGUGUGAACUUAAAUAACCACGAUCAUUAAACUGCUUAUCGCAUUCAGGACAAAUUCCAGAAAAUGUUGGUACAUUCAUAUACAGAUUUGUGGUAUUUAUAAUUCCUCAACUGACUGAUUGUUUUCUGUACAAAUAACAGACAAAAGGCUUUUCGACUUUGUGUGAUCUCUCAUGUAUCUGUAAAUUUACUAUUAGUAUUAAACAAAAUCUCUAAAUUA